UUUUAGACAUUGAUCAUGCCUCAGGAUGAACCCUGGCGGUAUGCUUAACACAUGCAAGUCGAACGGAGUACAGGGUACUUAGUGGCGGACCGGCGAGUAACGCGUGAGAAUCUGCCUUCAGGAUGGGGAUAACAGUGGGAAACCAUUGCUAAUAAUUCAAUGAGCCGAGAGGUAAAAAAUUUAUUGCCUGAAGAGGAGCUCGCGUCCGAUUAGUUAGUUGGUGGGGUAAAGGCUUACCAAGACGGCGAUCGGUAAAUGGUCUGAGAGGAUGAGCACCCUCAUUGGGACUGAGACACGGCCCAGACUCCUACGGGAGGCAGCAGUGGGGAAUUUUCCGCAAUGGGCGAAAGCCUGUCGGAGCAAUACCGCGUGAGGGAGGAAGGCCUUUGGGUUGUAAACCUCUUUUCUUAAGGAAGAAGAUCUGACGGUACUUAAGGAAUCAGCAUCGGCUAACUCCGUGCCAGCAGCCGCGGUAAUACGGAGGAUGCAAGCGUUAUCCGGAAUUAUUGGGCGUAAAGCGUCCGCAGGCGGCACUAUAAGUCUGCUGUCAAAGACCGCAGCUCAACUGCGGAAAGGCAGUGGAAACUGUAGAGCUAGAGUACGGUAGGGGUAGAGGGAAUUCCCAGUGUAGCGGUGAAAUGCGUAGAGAUUGGGAAGAACACCAGUGGCGAAAGCGCUCUACUGGGCCGUAACUGACGCUCAGGGACGAAAGCUAGGGGAGCGAAAGGGAUUAGAUACCCCUGUAGUCCUAGCUGUAAACGAUGA
RNAcentral lists this ribosomal RNA (765 nucleotides) under uncultured Stanieria sp. RNAcentral's name for it is "bacterial SSU rRNA". It matches the Rfam family "Bacterial small subunit ribosomal RNA", at positions 1 to 812 of the family's 1533-position model. The record is from RNAcentral. Lineage: Bacteria; Bacillati; Cyanobacteriota; Cyanophyceae; Pleurocapsales; Dermocarpellaceae.